RNAcentral lists this ribosomal RNA (324 nucleotides) under uncultured bacterium. Its description in RNAcentral is "bacterial SSU rRNA". It matches the Rfam family "Bacterial small subunit ribosomal RNA", at positions 28 to 334 of the family's 1533-position model. The record is from RNAcentral.
GACGAACGCUGGCGGCGUGCUUAACACAUGCAAGUCGAACGGAGCACCCCUGAAGGAGUUUUCGGACAACGGAAGGGAAUGCUUAGUGGCGGACUGGUGAGUAACGCGUGAGGAACCUGCCUUUCGGAGGGGGACAACAGUUGGAAACGACUGCUAAUACCGCAUGACGCAUUUGGAUCGCAUGGUCUGAAUGUCAAAGAUUUAUCGCCGAAAGAUGGCCUCGCGUCUGAUUAGCUUGUUGGUGAGGUAACGGCCCACCAAGGCGACGAUCAGUAGCCGGACUGAGAGGUUGGCCGGCCACAUUGGGACUGAGAUACGGCCCAG